AUGUGGAUCAUUUUAGACGGGUGCUUGUUCUUCCCGGCGCAAGUGCUCGUCAAAUGUUUGAACCUUUCCAAAAGAGGAGGGAUGUUCAAACGCACUCAUGUGUAAGAAAAAGAUGGAAUAUAUGUGUAGUAAUAUAUAUAUGUAUGUCUUGUCUUUACAUGGGUGGCCGGGAAUUCACUAGGAGCGUAGACGACAAAGUUAUCAAGAGGAAGUGUACUAUGUAUCUUUUCUCGGUGGGGCUAGAAGUAGGCCACAUCCAGCCCGUGUCAAAAAAUGGGAAGGAGAGAAGUUGGUGGGGCUCAAAAGAUGACGACUUUGGGGGGAUCGCAAAGUAGGAACGAACAUGUCAUCACCUCUUAACCAUACUCCUUCUCGACACAACAAAAGGAAAGGGUGUGAAAAGGAAAGAAAAGUAGUAGAAAAGGAAAGUACACGCAAAGGGGGGAAGUACACUGUCUUGGGGGAGCGAGAAGCGAGUGAUUUUUGAGGUAUCGAUCAAAAUAUCAGGCUUUCUCCUCUUCCUUGCGGUGGAAGGUUCGGAAUUUGGGUGAUUCCGCUCCCCUUACUCCUUUGAAACCCCCUGGGCAGAAACUCCGUAUGUGUUGUGUUUUUAUUCGUCGCUAUCGAAGAGAUGGUGACUGCACAAGGGGCGCUUUGGUUACUAUCUUUUCGGACGAAUAAAAAUCAUGCGGAGUUUCUGCCCGGGCUUCUUGAAUAACCCGUUUAUUAUAUUAUUGAAUUCAAAAUUUAAGGAAAUUAAUUUUUCCAUCAAAUUUGAAUUUAAUAAUAAGCUCUUCCAUCUCGUGCCUAUAGGGGGAUAUGUCUUGAAUUCUUUUUUUUGUCCAGUAUCGGAUUGGGGGGUUCCUCGUCUUUUGGUCCAAAAGACUGGGGGAACUCCCGGGUUCGACACGGUUUCAGAAUCAAGGAAUUCAGUUAAAAGGACAGUCCUACUUGUAGGCACGGGCGUCUGGGUUCAUAAGGGGCGGUGAAUGUGCCCUUCCGGACGUUUCAAUAUAACGCUCAACGAUGGAUGUCUAGGCUUGGUGAUCGAUGAAGGACGCAGCGAAGUGCGAUAAGUGUCAUGACUUGCAGAUUCCCGAGAGCUGACAAAUUUCUGAAUGCAAAUGGCGGCUGUCAAAAACGGCCAUGUAUGGCAGAGUGUAGUUGUUCAGACUAAUCAUCCCCUUCUCAUCAUACGUCUGGUGAUUGGGCUAGGGAUCUGCGCUUACGACCGACCCAUUGGCGUGAGUGUAAAAAAUCGAGCCCUCAGCUCUCUUCUUCUUCCCCUCUUCGGGGCGGCAGAGAGAGAUGGGGUGACUUCGGAAAAGGAGAAGAGGCGCGAGGAUGUCAUGUUCUCGCGCUUUUCUCUCUUGGAAUGAAGUUACUAGCUGCUCUCAAUAUACCCUCUAGGAAUCUACCUCUGCCAUGCAGGAGAACCCGCUGAACUUAAGCAUAUCAUUAAGCGGAGGACAAGAAAACAACCGUGAUUCCCUGAGUAACGGCGAGUGAACAGGGAACAGCCUAUGCUUGAAUCCGCGGCGGAAGGAACCGGAAGUCGUGGAAUUGUAGUGCAAGGGCCAAGGGGAGGUGUUGCAGUCAGAUGAAGCGCUCUGGAAAGUGCCACCGGUGGAGGGUGAAAGUCCCGUCAUAUCUGUACGCGCAAUGCCAAUAUCCCUACGGACUCCAAGAGUCGCGCAGUUUGAUAGUGCUGUGCAAACCGCUGGUGUCGUGCAGCGAAGGCUAAAUAUUGCACCAAGACCGAUAGCGAACAAGUAGUGUGAACGAAAGAUGAAAAGCACUUUGGAAAGAGAGUGAAAAAGGCCCUGAAGUCGUUGAGCGCAAAGGGUAUAAGAGCCAUUAAUCCGCCUCGCGCAAGUGAGGCAUGUCAGUACGGAUUUGCGUUCUCUGCGCGGUGUUCUUGUCUGAUGCCUUCGGGCUUCAGGAGGGAUUCUCACUGGGUGCAGCGGAGCGUCGAUCCGGAGGACUAGCGAGGGGUCGCUUGCAGGGGCGUAGUGAAUACGAGAGUAACUUUCUCCGGGAGGUUGCCUUGUCGAUCUAUAGCUUCCUGCACGUGGCCUCGAAGCGAUGUUUUAUUGCUGACACCGAGGUUCAAUCCUCGGUGAGAUGGUCUUCUACCACCCGUCUUGAAACACGGACCAAGGAGUCUACCUAAUGGGCGAGCCUUAGGGUGAAUCAAACCCAGCGAGGCGCAAUGAAAGUGGCGACCCGUGAAGUUUUGGGGCCUACCCAAGACGUGCAACGGGGCACGGUCCUAAUCGUAUGUGAAAGGGAUCUGAAGUAAAGUCCAUUAGCUGGGACCCGAAAGAUUGCGAGCUUUUCCUGGGCCGAUGUAAGUCAGGGGAAACCUUGAUGGACGAUCGAACGCAGUGCUGACGUGCAAAUCGCUUGUCAGAUCUGGGUAAAGGGGCGAAAGACUCAUCGAGCAAUCUAGUAGCUGUUUCCCUC
Molecule: unclassified non-coding RNA, 2466 nt
Filed under: uncultured fungus
Lineage: Eukaryota; Fungi
Description: sequence contains 18S rRNA gene, ITS1, 5.8S rRNA gene, ITS2, 28S rRNA gene
Rfam family: Eukaryotic large subunit ribosomal RNA (bases 1414-2466)
Source: RNAcentral